UUUACACGGGGUUUAAAGGCCGCCACAAGUUCUUGUUACAUUUUGGGGGAAACCUGCGUCCAUCUUCUCCUAGUGUUCUUCCGCUGAUUUAUGGAUUUUCCUAAUUGAAUCACAAAAUCGCAGCGGUCAGGAGAAUGCGUAAGACAUAACCUACAUUUAUCAUUUAUCAAACACGUAACAAAUGGAAACUCCACAAAAGGGAAAUGAAAACCAUCAAGAAGCCACAAGUCCCUCAAAUGCUGGUGGCUUUAGAGGGUUGAUUUAUGAACAGUACUGUAAAGCCAAAGAAAAUGCAGAAGCGUAUCCUUAUGUGUGGGCUUCCUAUCUUAUUGUGUAUGGUGGAUUUGGUCUUUGGGUGUCAUAUCGCUACAGAAAGCUCUGUAAGACUGAAGACAGAGUUAAAGCCCUUCAAGAGAAACUUCGCAAACUUCGUCAAGAGAGAGAGCCAGGAAGCUCCACUGCCUCGACUGAAAAUGUACCAUCGUCCUCCAAUAAACCUACCAAAUAGUCUCUGGUAAGCUCCGUUUCAGUUGAAUGAAUUUUGCAAGGGAAAUGCUUUGGCAUAAAUCCUAGGAUCUUUUUGCUGAUAUUUGUGUAGACAUUAAUUUUUUUCAUAUGAGUGUUAUUAGGUUUUUUGUACCAAAAUUUACACUACACAUACUUUGCAGAAGAAGUUUAUGUUUGAUCAUUGGUUGAGAUCACUUUUGGUGAUACAUGUUUCUUCUGCUGGAAAUCUUCAUUUCAAUGUUGAACUUGAGGAGACUUCUAAAGAAUUGAAUAUUUAGUUUAAAUG
Cynara cardunculus var. scolymus (artichoke) is the source of this 793-nucleotide long non-coding RNA. RefSeq lists it as uncharacterized. The transcript has 2 exons. The record is from RefSeq and is a predicted model, not a curated record. NCBI's taxonomy places the organism in Eukaryota, Viridiplantae, Streptophyta, Magnoliopsida, Asterales, Asteraceae.